GACGAACGCUGGCGGCGUGCCUAAUACAUGCAAGUCGAGCGAAGUUUUUCUGGUGCUUGCACUAGAAAAACUUAGCGGCGAACGGGUGAGUAACACGUAACGAACCUGCCUCAUAGACUGGGACUACUAUUGGAAACGAUAGCUAAUACCGGAUAACAGUAUUUCACGCAUGAGAGAUAUUUAAAAGUUGGUUAUGCUAACACUAUGAGAUGGCUUUGCGGUGCAUUAGCUAGUUGGUGGGGUAAAGGCCCACCAAGGCGGCGAUGCAUAGCCGACCGGAGAGGGUGAUCGCCCACACUGGGAGGGAGACGCGGCCCAGGCGCCUGCGGGAGGGAGCAGUAGGGUAUCGGACGCAAUGGUCGGGAGCCUGACGGAGCGAGGCCGCGUGAGUGAAGAAGAAUUUCGGUUCGUAAUGCUCUGUUGUUAGUGAAGAAUGGAUAUGGAGUAACUAGACGUGUAAGUGACGGUACCUAACAAGAAAGCCACGGCUAACUACGUG
This 499-nucleotide ribosomal RNA is filed under the name uncultured bacterium. RNAcentral's name for it is "partial 16S ribosomal RNA". It matches the Rfam family "Bacterial small subunit ribosomal RNA", at positions 28 to 507 of the family's 1533-position model. The record is from RNAcentral.